UGGUGGAGUGAUUUGUCUGGUUUAUUCCGUUAACGAACGAGACCUCAACCUACUAAAUAGUUCGACGAACUCUUUCGUUCGUGCGUUACUUCUUAGAGGGACUAUCGGUGGCCUAGCCGAUGGAAGUUUGAGGCAAUAACA
This 141-nucleotide ribosomal RNA is filed under the name uncultured eukaryote. RNAcentral's name for it is "partial 18S ribosomal RNA". It matches the Rfam family "Eukaryotic small subunit ribosomal RNA", at positions 1299 to 1458 of the family's 1831-position model. The record is from RNAcentral.